CCGUUUAGGGGUAAACCUGAGAAACCCGAAAGGUCGAAGGGAGAAAUUCAUUCGCGUCUCGUCGCAGGAGGCGGGCGGUCGAGUGACGGGGAGCGCGUUCGCGCGUUUCCCGCGCCUUCCGCUCGUCGAACCGGCGGCGAACGCGUGCACUUUUCUCCUGGUAGGACGUCGCGAUCCGUCGGGCGUCGGUCUACGGUUCGCGGUGGAGCCCGCUCGUACUUCGCGUACGGGCGGACCCGCGUGACCCGGCCGACUCGCUCGACGGUAUACGAAAGGUUUAAGGCCGCUCACCACGUAGCGUUCGACUCGCGGCAAGCGCGCAGGAUGCGUCGGCGAUCGGACCCGGUGCCGAUUCUGACCUCCGGCGACUGUUGGCCGCGAAGUUCUCGAACAGACCUUCUAGACCGAUCGGCGACGCUAUAGCUUUGGGUACUUUCAGGACCCGUCUUGAAACACGGACCAAGGAGUCUAGCAUGUGCGCGAGUCAUUGGGAAUCACUAAACCUAAAGGCGCAAUGAAAGUGAAAGUCUUCCUCGCGGGGACUUAGGGAAGACGGGCGACUCACCCUUAAAAGUGACCGCUC
RNAcentral lists this ribosomal RNA (583 nucleotides) under Pancrustacea sp. NZAC 03014429. Its description in RNAcentral is "eukaryotic LSU rRNA". It matches the Rfam family "Eukaryotic large subunit ribosomal RNA", at positions 405 to 791 of the family's 3401-position model. Lineage: Eukaryota; Metazoa; Arthropoda. The record is from RNAcentral.